Catharus ustulatus (Swainson's thrush) is the source of this 678-nucleotide long non-coding RNA. RefSeq lists it as uncharacterized. The transcript is spliced from 2 exons. The record is from RefSeq and is a predicted model, not a curated record. Lineage: Eukaryota; Metazoa; Chordata; Aves; Passeriformes; Turdidae.
AGCAAAUAAAUUGGAACGAAAUAAAAUAAAAACUAACAAAAUAUAAAAGGCGGAACAACAAAAAAAUCAGGGGAGGGCAGCGGGGCUGCUGUCAAGUUCUUCCCCCUCUUCUCUCCGGAGCCUCGACGACGGGAGGGAAAAAACGAUACCCCCCCAGAAAAAAAUAAUCCGAACCACCCCCGAGAAACACCAAGCGCAAUAACAGCGAGCACCCCCCGGAAGGGCCGUGCGGAGCGGCCCGGGAGCCGGCGGAGCUGCGGGCUCUGCGGCAGCGGGCGCGGCGGGAGGGGUGCAUGAACCCCCCCCUGCAGCCGGCAGCCCCGGUGCCUCGCUGUGCUCCGCCGCCGCCGCGCCGCCACUCUCAUGCUGUCCCCAUCGCCAGCUUUGUCCCCCGCCUUAGUAAUUCGCGCAUCCUUAUUCAGAUUUGGUGACGCCGAGGGCAGCGUCACCCGGGAUGCGGCCAAUGGGAGAGCGGUAACCAUGGCAACCUCUUAAUUUAUAGCAUAUCUAAAUUGGCUCCAGCCUUGUGCUUGGCACAGAGGGAAAAAAACAACGCGCCUCUAUUGUUGAGGGUGGCUUGUACCUGGGCCGCGAAGGUAAUGCGUGGAGAAGCAGCGUCGCUUAUACAAGAUGUUGAUGGAAUUUACUAUAUUAUUAAAGGAAAAAAAAAAUCCCCUU